AUUGAUUUUAUGCUUGCAUAAAUGAUUUUUGGAUUCGGAGCGAGUGGCGAACUGGUGAGUAACACGUGGGUAACCUGCCCCGAAGCGGGGGAUAACAUUUGGAAACAAGUGCUAAUACCGCAUAAUUAGUUGGAACCGCAUGGUUCCAACUUGAAAGAUGGCUCUGCUAUCACUUUGGGAUGGACCCGCGCCGUAUUAGUUAGUUGGUGAGAUAAAAGCCCACCAAGACGAUGAUACGUAGCCGACCUGAGAGGGUAAUCGGCCACAUUGGGACUGAGACACGGCCCAGACUCCUACGGGAGGCAGCAGUAGGGAAUCUUCCACAAUGGACGAAAGUCUGAUGGAGCAACGCCGCGUGAGUGAUGAAGGUUUUCGGAUCGUAAAACUCUGUUGUUAAAGAAGAACAAGUGUUAGAGUAACUGUUAACACUUUGACGGUAUUUAACCAGAAAGCCACGGCUAACUACGUGCCAGCAGCCGCGGUAAUACGUAGGUGGCAAGCGUUGUCCGGAUUUAUUGGGCGUAAAGCGAGCGCAGGCGGUUUUGUAAGUCUGCUGUGAAAGCCCUCAGCUCAACUGAGGAAGUGCAGUGGAAACUACAAAACUUGAGUACAGAAGAGGAAAGUGGAACUCCAUGUGUAGCGGUGAAAUGCGUAGAUAUAUGGAAGAACACCAGUGGCGAAGGCGGCUUUCUGGUCUGUUACUGACGCUGAGGCUCGAAAGCAUGGGUAGCGAACAGGAUUAGAUACCCUGGUAGUCCAUGCCGUAAACGAUGAAUACUAGGUGUUGGAGGGUUUCCGCCCUUCAGUGCCGCAGCUAACGCAUUAAGUAUUCCGCCUGGGGAGUACGACCGCAAGGUUGAAACUCAAAGGAAUUGACGGGGGCCCGCACAAGUGGUGGAGUAUGUGGUUUAAUUCGAUGCUACGCGAAGAACCUUACCAGCUCUUGACAUCUUCUGCCAACCCAAGAGAUUGGGCGUUCCCUUCGGGGACAGAAUGACAGGUGGUGCAUGGUUGUCGUCAGCUCGUGUCGUGAGAUGUUGGGUUAAGUCCCGCAACGAGCGCAACCCUUAUUAUUAGUUGCCAGCAUUUAGUUGGGCACUCUAGUGAGACUGCCGGUGAUAAA
This 1123-nucleotide ribosomal RNA is filed under the name uncultured bacterium. RNAcentral describes it as "bacterial SSU rRNA". It matches the Rfam family "Bacterial small subunit ribosomal RNA", at positions 47 to 1162 of the family's 1533-position model. The record is from RNAcentral.